RNAcentral lists this long non-coding RNA (386 nucleotides) under Vigna radiata. RNAcentral describes it as "long non-coding RNA (VRAD_LNC016828)". The record is from RNAcentral. Lineage: Eukaryota; Viridiplantae; Streptophyta; Magnoliopsida; Fabales; Fabaceae.
AUGGGGAUAGGUGGGGGGUGGGGCUGUUGAAUAAAUUUAAAAACUUUUUGCAAUGAAGUGCUAGAUGUUAUUUGUAGGGGUUAGACGGUCUACACGCAGUGCUUAACACUUAAAUAUUUGUAUAAAGCGUUUAGAAAAACGGGUAAACAUAAAAUAGGAAAUAAUACUUUUUUUUAUAUUGGUUCCAUUAUUUUUCUCUUUUAAGCACGUCCAAUUCUCUUUUAAGCUAUGUCCAAUUCUCUUUUAAGCACUAUUAAAGGGUUCCAUUAAAUUUUGAAAAGAUUACAACGAGUUUAACCACUUUUGGUUUAAAACAAGUAUAAUUACUCCUGGUAUCAAAUACUCUAAUUGAGUAUAUCGUUUAACUCCUAAGUUAAACAAACAGG